CGUAAAAAAAUAAAAUAAAAAAAAAAAUUAUCAGUAGCACAAUGCGUAAUGGUAACUAUAAAAGUUUAGUAGUUACAAAAUAUUUAAUCAUGGGUCUUGUAAAUAAAUAAUAAUAAGUCGCGACAUUUUCAAAUCAUGAAUUAAAACUACUCCAUUUUUUAUUUCGCUUAUUUUUUUUUUAAUAUUAGCAAUUACAAACACUGGGAAAAACAAAAUGCAACAAUUUUGUUAGCAGUCCUUUAUUUAUUUGUUUUUUAUUUGUUUAUUCAUUUGUUUUUUAUUUGUUUAUUCANNNNNNNNNNUGUUUAUUCAUUUGUUUUUUAUUUGUUUAUUCAUUUGUUUUUUAUUUAUUUAUUUUUAACAUUAAUUUAUAUAUAUAUAUAUAUAUAUAUAUGUAUAUGUAUAUGUAUAUGUAUAUAUGUAUAUAUGUAUAUAUGUAUAUGUCAGUGUUUAUUUUUUGAAUUGUUCAAUGUGUAAGUAAUAUAACACUUAAAGUGUGGUUAAAAGAGUUGAAAAAGAGAUAGCCAAAAUAACAAAACAAAAAAGCUUAUGAAAUACAGGAAUUUGUAUAAAGUGUGUAUGAGGUCAUGAGUACACUUGUGUAUAGUAAAUAUACGAAUAAACAAAAUGGAAAAGAACAAAAUAGAGCACUUGGUGAAAGGCUUGAGCACGUUUGAAAUGUUUAUGAAUCAAUAUAUAGUAAAAUACAAAAACUCAAAAGUUUGUUAUGUUUGUAAGGUAAAAUAAAAAAUUCAAAAAAAAAGCGAACAAACAUGUACAUAUUUGUAAAAGCAUAUACAUAUGUUUAUGCAUGUACAUACGACAGAUGUUUUUUUUUUUUUUUUUUUUUUUUUCAAUUUUAAAGAAUAAGAUAACAAAUAAUCAUGUUGAAAAAAUGGAAAAUGUAUGUCCCAAAAUGUGGAAAUAUUUCCAUGGUCUUAUUAUACAACCACAAUGUCCAUUGCAAAGUUUUGGAAAGGUUAUGAAGGUAAAAGAUUUAAGGUUUGAAGAAUUAGAAAAAUAUAAGGAUAGUUUGCAGAGGAAAUAAAAAAUAAAUCAUUACUCUUUUCUUUCUCCCUUAAAAAAAAACAAAAACAAAAAAAAGGCAGGGAGAGCAGAUAGUAUUAGAUGAAAGAGGUGAUGAAUAAAUAGAAAGGUUGAAAAGGAAAAUAAUAUAUU
This 1179-nucleotide long non-coding RNA is filed under the name Piliocolobus tephrosceles (Ugandan red Colobus). RNAcentral describes it as "lncRNA (ENSPTEG00000005423.1)". Lineage: Eukaryota; Metazoa; Chordata; Mammalia; Primates; Cercopithecidae. The record is from RNAcentral.